UAGGGAAUCUUCCGCAAUGGACGAAAGUCUGACGGAGCAACGCCGCGUGAGCGAAGAAGGUCUUCGGAUCGUAAAGCUCUGUUGUCAGGGAAGAACAAGUGCCGUUCGAACAGGGCGGUACCUUGACGGUACCUGACGAGGAAGCCACGGCUAACUACGUGCCAGCAGCCGCGGUAAUACGUAGGUGGCAAGCGUUGUCCGGAAUUAUUGGGCGUAAAGCGCGCGCAGGCGGUUCCUUAAGUCUGAUGUGAAAUCUCGCGGCUCAACCGCGAGCGGCCAUUGGAAACUGGGGAACUUGAGUGCAGGAGAGGGGAGCGGAAUUCCACGUGUAGCGGUGAAAUGCGUAGAGAUGUGGAGGAACACCAGUGGCGAAGGCGGCUCUCUGGCCUGUAACUGACGCUGAGGCGCGAAAGCGUGGGGAGCGAACAGGAUUAGAUACCCUGGUAGUCCACGCCGUAAACGAUGAGUGCUAAGUGUUAGAGGGUAUCCACCCUUUAGUGCUGCAGCAAACGCAUUAAGCACUCCGCCUGGGGAGUACGGCCGCAAGGCUG
RNAcentral lists this ribosomal RNA (551 nucleotides) under uncultured bacterium. RNAcentral's name for it is "bacterial SSU rRNA". It matches the Rfam family "Bacterial small subunit ribosomal RNA", at positions 355 to 896 of the family's 1533-position model. The record is from RNAcentral.